UUUAGGUGGUACAAAUGUAGUCACAAGGUUAUUUUUGAGAAGGGCAAAAGAGUGAGAGUCAGACAAAGAGACAUGAUGACGAGCAGAAGGAGAUUUUAAGAUGGAGGAAGGGGCCAUAAAACAAGGAAUGCAAGUGGCUUCUAGAAGCUGAAGUGAAUUCUUCCACAGAAUCUCUAGAAGAAUGCUGCCAACACUUCAAGUUUGACUUCUGACCUCCAAAAAUGUAAGAUGACAAAUGGAAACAGAAACUACUCUAGAUCAUAGUAAAUCAAAACUGUCUGCGAGAAUUCCCCAUCCCACCACCUUGUAUGAAGGCCAGCUUAUGAUCAUAGAUUCUUAGUGGAGACUUAUCCCCCUCAAGCUAGUAUUAAGGCCAAGGUAAGCAAGUCGCUGGCUGAUGCCUCUUUUCACCUGUAAAAUUAAGCACUGGAAGUAUACAUAUGAAGAAAGCCAGCCUCCAAAUAUAAAUGGCCUGCACAAAGAUAUACAGCUACAGAAUGCCAUGCACAAGUUGCCA
Molecule: long non-coding RNA, 517 nt
Organism: Leopardus geoffroyi (Geoffroy's cat)
Lineage: Eukaryota; Metazoa; Chordata; Mammalia; Carnivora; Felidae
Exons: 3
Source: RefSeq, a predicted model, not a curated record